GCUCUCGUAGGUUAAUGGAUAAACUUUGGGAUUCCGGAUCCUAAGCUGCGGGUUCGACCCCCGCCGAGAGCG
This 72-nucleotide transfer RNA is filed under the name Candidatus Levyibacteriota bacterium. RNAcentral describes it as "tRNA-Arg". It matches the Rfam family "tRNA". Rfam says of the family: Transfer RNA (tRNA) molecules are approximately 80 nucleotides in length. Their secondary structure includes four short double-helical elements and three loops (D, anti-codon, and T loops). The record is from RNAcentral. Lineage: Bacteria; Candidatus Levyibacteriota.